UUCAAGAGCACCAAUCUUAAAAAUUCGUAUACAAAUCGCUCUAUUUGCAAAAGUUGCAUCCUUUUGCAAGUGAUAAACAAGUGCGGCUUGAUUCGAUGCAUCGUUCGUCAUAUUUGUGCCUCUAAAGUUUCUAUGCAAAUUUCAAUGGGAUUUCUUGAUGUUUCACCAUAAGUUUAAGUAGAUUUCAUAACAUGAAUCGUGCUCUAGUUUCAUAACUCGAUUACAAACAACUUUAGUGUAUUCCACUCUUCGUCACUAUGCAGCAUCCAGUGCCAGUGGUCCACUUACCUAAGGGCUCGUAAAAGCCAAACUUGGUUCGGGUCUGUAACAGCGUCACCAGCGGUAGGAAAAAGUGCAAGUAAACUUUCAUAUAAGAUACCACCCUAUACGGUUAGUGUACACGCGAUGAUAUUCCAUCAUAUGUGUUCCAACCCAACAACAACGCAACAACGCAACGGUGCGGUAGUGACGACAAACGAUGACGCUGUGCAAGCAGGAGCUUACACUAAGUUUGUCGGUUCGUUGUCGUCGUCAGUUUUGGGUGAGUUAAGUAGAGCAGCACCACCGAGUAGAAAAUUAUGUUGAUCGUCUUGGUUAAUGGUUAGUGCUGUUGUUGCUGCUGCUGCUGUUGCCAAAUGUGAUGUUGUCUCAGCCGUUGUCGUCAACCGUCACAUUUGGGAGCGCCCACCACGACCGCUACCACCCAUCAACUCGAUUACGUGUGCGGUAAAUUUGCUUUGGGAGUCAAUAGGUGUACUUGCGAAAGGUACGAUACAAUGUACGAUGUAGAACGUCUGCUUAGUUUGGAUCUUUGGCGUUCGAGGUGUGUUCGAGUGAUAAUGCAACAUAUGUAAUACACGUAUGGACAACCCAACAAACAUUUUUGCUGUACAAGAGUGGAACAAUCCACUCUUAAGCAAACUUUAGCUUAGAAACUGUUAUUCAGCUAGUUCUGUUUCUUGAGAAGGUACGAAUUAUUCGUAUAAUUGAAAUGCACUAUCAGGAUUUCUAUCAUAAAAGAUCGCUAUUCUGGGCGAUUGCUGUCACGCAAUGAUCAGCUGCGCUGCCAGAUCAAAUAUUCGUAGUUUUGUUUUAUUUCCUUAUUGAGGCUGCGCAGCCAUGAGCAUCUUGAUCUUACUCUGAUGCGAUGCCUCCCGCUGGGCUGAUGUCGCUUGACUGUUGAUUUGAUUUCCACCCCUUCGUAGAGCUCAACCCACAAACCUCGUUCCCGAAUUUCUGUCGCUAUCGGUGGAUGUUCAGUUUUUGGCCGCCAUGUACGAGUUACCGCAUAUACCACAGGCAUCUGUCGAUGAAGACCUACAGCCGUUCAGUGUUCUCCACUGAUACAUACCAGGUUUUACUGAGGUACAGUAGUACACCCGUUUACAAAAACGGUUUGGACUACAUAUUGAACGUAUUAAUUUGAAUUUAUUUUUUUUUCUUGAUAAGCUACUUAGUAGUCCGUUCAAAGUCUAACACCGUACAUCAAACCGUUUUUGAUUAGAUUUUGUUUUAGAUUUUAUCCCUUUCGUGACGAACCAGCACAAUUGGGCUGUUGAGCGGUAACAGUUUUGCAUAUUUUUUUCAUCUGUUUAGACUUUGUUUUAUGUGAUGUAAACUGUUUCAAUAAUUCAGCCAUUACUUAUAGUUGUAUGUGUGCAAAAAACUUUUGUUUACGUUGCUUGUGAGAUUUACCACAACAAAGUAAACAAAAAGUGGGCAAAAACCGUAAAACAUGAAAAAGUUUUAUCUGUCGCAUAUUUUUUAUUUCCGAUUUAUCUAGGUAGUCAAAGCUAAAAAUCGGAAGGUAAAGAGUAGUUCUUUCAUAUAAGGGAAAAUAAUUGCUGUUUUGUUGGAAAGUCUAAGAGUUCUGGAGAGCCAAAGUUGAGCAAUUUGUAUGAAAAUUUCGCUUUUUUGCGCUCCGUCUCGAAAGGGUUAUAGAGGCAUUUUAAAAUCUUCCCCUGUGUUAUAGGGAUAGGGAUUUUUCAAAACAUCAUCGUUCUUCUUCUUCUUCUUCUUCUUCAUGCAACAUCAAAUCAUCAAUUGUGAAAGACGGACCCGGUUAGGGUGGUGCUUGGAAUCCAGUUUGACUUUCUAUUUCAGGGAAUUGUAACUUGCUCUGUGACUUAGUUGCAGUGGCGUAGCAAGGGGGGGCGGAGGGUGCGGUCCGCACCGGGCCCCCGAACCUAGGGGGCCUCCAAAUCAGGGCAGGUCUAGUGUUAUGAACCUUCCCUGAUUUGGAGGCCCCCUGAAUUCAGGGGCCCAGUUUGAAUAAAGUUCUGUGAUUAGCGAAAGAUUCCUACAUAUAAGUAUAAGUUAAAUACUUGCCGAUCUGCUGAUAGGUAUGUAGGGGCCUCUUCGUGAUUAUCAAGAGAUUUUGGAAUGGGGAACACAGAUGGCUAUUUUGAUGUUCUAUUAUUAACAAUUAUAAAUGUACACACUUUAUUCAUGUAGUUUCGUUAGUUUUGUUUAUAUUAAUUUGAUGACUACUCUUUGCACCUGCAGGAGCCCCAAAAUACAAUAAAAAAUGUGUUCGAAAUCAAAAUUGAAUUUUACGAUAUUCAGUACCGAUUAUACUUCCAUAAUUCAUGAGCAUUAUGAAAAUGUCCCUGAUAUCCUAACCACAGAACCAAACAUAGGUGUUGAUUUAGCGUAAGAUAGCAGCUGAAAUUCAGGGGCCCCAUUUAUCAAAAUUAAGAACUGAACGCAUGUUACGUUCUUGAAGGGUUUCUGCGGGAAUUCCUUCGGGCAAGAAUAUAUUUUUCGAUUUAUCAGGCAGUUACUUCAAAGACUUCUACAAAAAUUCUUCUAUGAUUUACUUCAGAACUUUUUUCAGGGAUUGCUUAAGAAAACUUUCUAAGCAUUGGUUUAUGAAUACUUACAAUGAUUGCUUCAGGAACUCCUCCAGACAUUUCUUCAAGAAUUUCUUCAAACAAUUAUCAAGAAAUCCUUCAGGAAUUCCUUUGGGAUUUUUUUGUAAGCAUUUCUUCAAGCAGUCGUUCAGAAAUACCAUUUCGGAACCGUUCAUAAAGCCAUUCAAGGAUUAUAUCAUGAAACUCUUCAAGAAAUCCUUCAGAUGGACCUCAAGGAAUUUCUCCAAGAAUGAUUUUAGAGAUUUCUUCAAGAAGGAAUCUUGCAGUAGUUCCUCAUGGAAAAUAUAUUUGAUGAUUUUUUGAGAUUUUUGAAGCCAUACCCGAAUGGAUCCUUGGGAGAUUUUCCAAAGAAAUUUGAAUGUAUUCCCGAAGGAACUUUUUUUUUUAAAUUUCUUUGUAUUUGUGAAUUUUAACUUAAUGCUAAUUCUUUACACCCCGAAGGAACUCUUGUAGAAAUGUCUGUAGGAUUUUUUGUAGAAAUUUCUAAAAAAAAUCUUUAAGAAUCGCCUAGAUGAAUUCUAAGAUGUAUUAGGAAAGAAUCAUUGGGUUGAUUUUGGAGGUAUAUUUGAUGAUGUUCUGGAAGGAUUACUACAGUACUAUGAAGUAGUACUACAAGUACUAGGAGUACUAUGAGUAAUUACUUAAAGGAUUCCUGAAAAAAAUCUGUAAGCAAAUUUUGGAAGAACUAAUUAUGAAAUGCCUAGAUAAUUUCUCAAGAAAUCAAUGACGGAAACCCCAAAGAAUUCCAAAUUCUUUGGUGCAAAUAAAAAAAAAAACAAUCUUCAAAAGAAUUUCCGCAGGAGGCCUUGGGUGAAUUUCUGUAAGACCCCCUGAGGAAAUUUGUGCAGGAAUUCUUUAGGGAUGAAUGUGUCCAUCCUUGUAGGAUUAUCUGAAGAAAAACUUCGAGAAAUCCAUGAACGAACUUUUAUAUGUAACUUGAAAAACAAAAUCCUUGUUGAAAAGAUUAAUUUUUACUGGAAUUUCUUAAAAGAUUCUUGAACGAAUUGUGAAAAAGGACUUAAAACCAUUGCCUAAGGAAUCUUUGAAUGAUUUUCUACAGAAAUUAUUAGAGGAAUUUAUGAGGAAAUCCCUGCAGGUAUGAUUACUAAAGAAAUGCUUGAACAAAUUCUUAAGAAAUCCUUGAUAGGACUUCCAAGAAAAAUCGUAUAAGGUAGUGCAAAAGGAACCCUUGAAGAAGUUUCUAAAAAAAUCUUGAAGGAACUCCAAAGUAUUCCUCUGAAAAAAUGCUGAAGAGAACAUGUGCGAAUCGUUUGUGGAUAUCUUUAAGAAACUCUCUAUAGAGUUCUUGGGAUUACAUAAUACUGAAAAAAAUCCUUCAAGGAAUUGAAGAAGAAGUUUCCUAAGGAAUCGCUGUUGCAACUUUCGCAGAAAAUCUUCGAGGAAUUUGUAAAGAAGUCCUUGAAGUAUUUCCCAGAUGAAUCGUAAAAGAUAUCCAAGAAAGAGUUCUUGGAGCUCCGCACUUGAGAAAAAAAUAUUGAUGAAAUCGUUAGAAACAUUUCGUUAGAAGUUUCGUGAAAUAAAUCCGGACGAAACUGGUGUAAUCGCUAAAGAAACCGUUAAAGGUAUCAAUAGAAAAAAUCUGAUAAAAACCUUGGAAGAAUUCCUAAAGGAUUCAUUGAGGAAUUGCAGUAGAAUCUCUUGGAGCAAAUCCUGUGAGAAUUUUUACAUCAUUUAUUACAAUUUUUGAAGUAUUUCUUCGGAUUUUUUUUAUCUUUUUCAGUAAUUAAUACGGAAACCCGUUACAGAUUCGUUAAGGAAUAUCUUUAAACAUUAAUUUAAGAAUCCAUUCGGCUAUUGCUCUGAAAAUUUCCUUUGACGAUAUAUUUGAUUAAUUGUUAGGCAUUUCCUUUGGAAACUUCUUCAACUAAUUCUCAGAAAUGCUACAAAAAUGGCUUCUGAUUUUUAUUUCUACGAACUUCUUUGGAUUUCUAUUUCUAGGAAAAUUCUGUUGGGAAUUCCGUCUGCAACUUUUCACUGACUUUUUUUUUGACAAUUCGUUUGAGAAAACCUCUGGUAAUAACUUUUGGAAUAACUUUAACAUUUUUCUGGAAACUUCUAUGCCAAUCCCUACGGGAAUUGAUUGGGUUAUUCAUUUGGCAUUUUUUGGUAAUUUAUUCGGCGAGUUUUCUGUGAGUUACCUAAAAAAAACUUUCAAAUAUCUUUUGGCGUUUUUUUUGGCAAAUUCUUGGGAAAUGCUUUGAUUGGUUUUGAUCCGAAAGUUCCUAUAAGAGUAUUCUUGAAAUUUGCUCUGCAAAUGUUUUUGAAAACUAUUUCGGCAUAACUCUUUUGGAAUUUCUCGGCAAUAAUAUUCAAAGUUGAAUUUGGUUAUUAUUUUUGAAAAUAUCUUUGACAGAACUUUUUGAAAUUCUUUGGGUUUGGAAAUUUAUUACGGGAUUCAGCAAUUUCUCUAAAAGUUCUACCAGCAGUCCCUUUGCUCAUAUACCUGACAAUUACUAUUGUAAUUCUUUCAAUAGCACAGCGUAACAAAAAUUAACUUUUGGUCUGUUUCAAGAGCAAACUAAUGUGUCUCUGACAGAUUUUGGGCCGCGGUUAUGUUGGGUACGAUACAAACCACCCUCCAAAAAUUGCAUGCAAGUUUACAUAUUAACAUAAAAUGCUUAAAUCUUUCAAAUUUGAUUUGAAAAAACGAAAUAUUUUGCGUGAGUCGUAAAUUUAGAUGUUAAUUGACCAUUUUACCUUUUAAUUACUUAAAAAAAAUAUUUCCAUGUUUAACGGCUUGCAGUCAAAAAAGCCCAAAAUCGCAUAUUUUGCCCUAUAAAUUGAGGUAUAGCUCAAAAUUGUGGCGUCCUGAAACAAAUCUGAGCCCGGAUUCGGAUUCAGCGGCCCAAAACCUGUCAGAGACACAUACAGGUACUUUGAAAAUUAAUUAGUCGAUUCGUUUGUAAAUUUAAGUGGCAACUUUUAAAAGCUUCUUUGGUAAUUCCUCUGUAAAUUUCUUCUGAUAAUUCUUUAUUAAAUUUCGUCUGUUAUUACUUUUGAUGUUCUAUGAGAUACAUCUUUGCAAAUUAAAAAUAAAUCCACGAAUUUACAACGGAACGACCGAGAAAAAUCUCAAGAGAAUUACCAGAAGAAUUUCCAAAAAAUUAAGAUUACCAGAAGAGAUCACAAACAAUUUCCUAAAAAUGUAUGAAGAAAUUUCUAUAGAAUUUCUAGGAUUAAUUUCUGUGAGAAUUGAAAGAAUUCUUUUUUUUUUUUUGAGUUUGUAAAGUAUUCAUUGGAGGAAUUUAUCAAUCCUUGAAUAGGCUUAUUAGAGGAAUUUCUAAAAAAAAAUCUAGCAAAAACACUCAAUGCAUCCCCUGGAGGAAUUCCUGUGGAAUUUCUUGGAGGAAUUUGUGUAAGAAUCUCCGGAAAGCCCUUGCAGUAGUAAUUAAAUAAAUACAUGAGGAAAUCCUUGCAUAAAAAGACCCCAAAAGAUUUCUUGUACAAAAUUAUUUGUAAAAUACCUGGAAAAAUCAGUUUAGGAAUGAAUGAAUGAAAUCAAUUGAAGAAACUCUAAGAGAAUACUUGAAUAAAAUCUGAACGAAUCUUCGGGCAAAUCACAAGAGAAUUACUAAAGAAAUCUCUGGAAAAAAUCCUGAAGGAAUUUUGGGAGCAAUUUCUAAAGGCUGCCUUAAAGGAAAUCCUUUAGAAUUUUGAAUAACCUUAGAACAUUUCCUAAAUUCUUGGAGAGACUUCUGGAGAAGUUAUUUGUUUUGAUAAGAUAGGAUAUCUGUUUCUUUACUAUUUAGCCAUUUACGCUGCCAUUUUUAUCCCACUCAAAACAAUGGAAUGAAGCGUUUUUGUUCUGUUUCUUAUUUUUGUAUAUUUGUUAGAAGUGAGCACGGAUUAUAUAAAAAAUAACGUAAUAAUUAAAUCAAUCAUAAAUUCUGGGGAAAUAGAUUUUUUUUAAGAGUGCCCAGAGGAAUACUAGCAAAAAUUCCUGAAGGAACUCUUGAGAAAACUCCUAGAGUUGAUGGAUAUCGAAAAAUUCGUUAGAGGAAAUCCAGAAGGAUUUUUCGAAAGAAUUCCUACAGAAGUCCAUCUAAAAAUUUAAUUUAAUUAAUUUAAUUUAAUUAAUUCAAUUUCUUUAGUAGAAAUCCUUGGAGAUUUUGUUUAAUUAAUUGAGAAAUUCUAUGAUGAAUCUCUUAGUAAUACCUUAGAGAAACUUUUUGAAGAAUCCUUGAAGAUUUUUUUUUGGAAAAGGGAAUUUUUGGUGGGAUUUCUGAAGUAAUCUUAGGAAGUAAUUCUUAAGAAAUCUUUAAAAGGACACUAUGAUAUAAGUGAUGAAUGCUUGAGGAAAUUCCAAGUUUAAUUAUUGGAGAAAUAUCUAAAAGAGUUAUUUGAGGGAAGAAUUGAGAAAUACUUGAAGAAUCUAUGGAAAAUCACCAAAGGAAUAUUAAGAGGAUUCUCUGAAAGAAACGGAAUAAUGUUUAAAGAAACCCUAGAAGGGCUUCUCUUCCUCUGAGGGAAUCCCGAUGCAAUUUAUUGGAAGAACAUCUGGUUCUAAAUGAAUCAUUGAUGAUUUUUUGUAGUAUUUUUUCUGGAAUUUUGAAAGAAUUCUUUAGAUGAUCUUCUAGAUGAAUCCUCAGAAUAUAAUUGAUAGAUUCUUGAACUAAUAUUUCGAGAAAUACUCGAUGAAGCCUUUGCAAAAUCUUUUGAAUUACUCUGUAGUAUUUUGAAAACAUUCCUGCAUGUCUGAGGUGAACCAGCCAAGGGACUGAAAGCCUCAUUAAUAAGGCUAAUUAUAAUAAUAUCAUUCCUCAUCAAUACUGAAUGAUAUCCUUGCAUUUACAACUUAAAAGUUUCUUGAAUACAAAUUAUUCUUUAAGAAAAAUUUCUUAAAGAAAAAAGUAAAGCAAUCUUUGAAAGCGUUUAUAAAUGAUUAUUUGGUGUAAUUUCUAAAUAAAUUGUUAAAACAUUUUCAGCAUCAUUCUUAUAAAAAAAAAAUCUCACGCUCCCGAAAAAAAUCAUAAAGGAAAACAGAAAAUAAGAUAAGAUAGAUAAUUUUUAAACCUCCUUUGCCAGCAUCACUAGAAUAUUGAGUACAAAAAGCGAGAUUUUUUCAAAGAUUUGUACAAAAUAUAACAGUGAGAUUAUUCGACAGUCAAAUGUAUAGAUUUAUCGUUGUAAAAUAUGUACAUAUUAUGUAAUUUUCAUGGGGGCCUACCAAUUUGCUUCCGCACCGGGCCCCCAAAUUCCUAGCUACGCCACUGCUUAGUUGGUUAAAGCGCCGGACUAGCGAUACAGAGUCGUGGGUUCAAAUCCCACCAAAACAAGUGGUCAUUUUUUUACAAAUUUAUCUCUCAAUUUGUCAAUUAAACACACACAGUGUUCCCGAAAAAAGUUUGAGUUUUUUCGUCUAUUCAAGCCUUACAGCCGACUGGUAUAGCCGGUAAAGGGCAAUAAAAUUAUGUGCUUCCUGAUAUCAUUUUGAAAAAAAUAAAGGUCUUUUGCAGAUUAUGUGGAAAACUGUCGGGGGAAUUCCUGGAAAAAAGAUAAGAUGAAUUUCUGGAAGUAUUUGCAUAACAAUCCCUGGAGGAUCUUCCGUGCGAAUUUCCAAAUAAACUUCUGGUUAAUUUCCUGGAUGAACUUCCCGGAGGCACUCACCCAUCGGUCACCGGUCAGUACACGAGUUCUUCAACCGUCUCGUUUUCAUCACGUUCAAUAGAAAUUCGGGGUGGCGGGUACGGUGAUUCCUCCCUAGAGUCCUUUACCAUCACAUACCUUGCCACCGACACAUUAAUGACUAGGGGAAAGUAAGGUAAGAUGCCAUUUUUUAACCUUUCAUCGUUUUCAAUGACAAAUAGCCUAAUUUCUUAGACUUUCAAAGUGGUAACAGAAACUAGACAAUACUUGCUUGAUAUUUCAGCAAAUGUAUUCACUUAACUAGUGCAUUUUCAUCGAUUUUUAGCGAUUUUAAAAACAGGUUUGUAAAACGGAAGUGGUGCAAAAAGGUCGUCUGCCAUGGGGUAAGAUGCCACUUUAUUAAAACAUUCAAAAAUUACGUUUAUCAUUUUUCGGGCAUUUCCGACUCCUAUUCCCCCACUGUCCAUUUUUAUCGUAUACUCAAUACAUAAAGUGACACCCGCCUUCCCGCGGAACGAUGGUCGUCAUAUUUGAAUGACCCCUAACAUGGAUAGCGUUGACAUCAACAACCAUGCGCCUCCAUGUUUGUCUCAAUCACCUUGGAAACACUUGGCUGGUAAUAAAAUCACCAGAAAACCUUAAUUGCAAGCACGAAAAACCGGAAGUUGGCAAUUUUCAUUGGGAAAUCAAAAGAUUUUCCGAGGGUUUGGCGGCUUAGCUUCUAGAAGAAUAUUUUAUGUAAACAUAUCUUAACACCCUUCACCAAUAUGUAGCAAUGAUCAAAUCACAUUUAGGAAUGAUUUUAUGAGUUGGUCCAUCUAACCUCGUCUUGGAAUUUUGGGCUUUGUUCCCCUAAUCUGAUUCGCCUGGCUCCAUUCUUCAGUCGGUUGUACAUUUCAGCCAUCGUCUCAAAUUUGCGAAUAUCAUUACAGCUAGAAACUGUAAUAAAGAAACUUUUGUUUUACCAACACGGCUUGUCGGAUGUAAACAUUAUUGUCAAAACAAACUUUAAGUGGAAUAUACAGCCACUACACAAAUACUCUACAGUUAUCCAUCUCUUUGCUGUAAAAUGUGAAGAUGUGUUAAUCGAAUAAAAGUCCCAACAAAACAGCUGCUUUUAUACAGUUGUCAAAUACACAAAACAGCAGUGCUUCGUGGCUGUUUAAAGAAUAUUCUUUCAGCUUGAAGCUGUGACGAAGAACCUGUUGGCGCAAUCGUACAGCUUAUUCAAUGUAAACAUUAUUGCGUUUGACGUUUUACAAACUUUUACAGCAGGGUGAAGCUGGGUAAGGUUUCUUGUGACACAUUUAUAAAGCCUUGUCUGGAGUAAAACAAAACGGACUAUUUUAUCUGCUAUUUAUGUACAUAUAUAGCAGUGUGGCUGCGAGGACAUCUUCGAGACCAGUGGAUACGGAGAUCGGGAGUUCGGUUCGAUUCGAAAAUUCCCGUUCCACAUGUAUUGCGUCACUGUAUCCAUAACCAAAUUAUAUUUAAUCGAUUAAUUUAGGCAUACCGUAUAACUCUUAUUCAACAACUGUGAAAAGCCUGAAAAGCGCCUUCUUAAGAUGUUAUACAGUUAGUGGUUACAUAUGAGCCGAGAAAAGAGCUAUAACUUCGUGGUAUAGAAGCUGCUCGCCCAGCAUAUACAUGUGGAUUAAGUUCGCCAGAUUCAUUGGUAUAGGGCUUGCAUAGAAGCUUCCUUCCAUAAGUACAACAAAGUAACUCAGCAUCGAGCCGUUUUGAGGACGCUUUGUUGACGUUUAACCCUUCCGUUACCAACCCCCCCUAACGAGAGUGCGAAAAAAUACUCUUUUCGUUAUAACUUUUUUGUUUUUCAAUAUUUUUCGACCAAAUUUUGACACAAUAAGUGGAUAUCCCUCUGAUUUAAGGAUUUGCUAGGGAUUGUUGGAAUGGCCAACUGGUUCCGGAGUUAUUCCGGAAUCAAAAUGGGUCAUUCGAUUUGGUUAUUUUGGAAAAAGUAAUUUUUCGAUAUGAGAGCCGUUCAGUUUUCAGACCUAAGUGUACUAGAAUGAUAGAAAAAUUUGUCUAGAAGUCCAUCCCGAUCACUACGUGCCUUGGAACCCGUUUUACGGACGUUCCGGGGAACCGGUUCCGGGGUCAAUUUUUGAAUAUGAUUCAAUAUCAUCAUGCGACACCUUAAACUUCGUGAUUUUUCAAGAUGCAUCAUUCUGUGCUGUUUUGGCGUUGUCUGAAAUACUGUUGGCCAUUUUGGAACCGGUAUUCGGAUUUCCCGGGAAUCGGUUCCGGUGGUUCCGGGGUCCAAUUUUCGAAAAUAAACAAACACCAUCAUGCGACAUAUCAAACUUCAUGAUUUUGAAAAUCAUGGCAUUCUAUCAUAAUGAUUGGCCACUUAGGAUACAUUUGGCCAUUAUGGACGGGCCAAGUUUUGAAAAUGGUUCAAUACCGUCAUGCGGCAUCUCAAACAUCGUGAUUUUCAAAAUACAUCAUUCUGGGCUAAUAUUGCGUUAUCUGAAAUACUGUUGGCCAUAUUAGAACCGGUAUUCGGAUUUCCCGGGAAUCGGUUCUGGUGGUUCCGGAGUCAAUUUUUCGAAGAUAAACAAACGCAAUCAUGCGACCACGAGCGGAACCAUUGCAUUGAUUGCUAUCCGUAUAUUUAUGCUUUUAACCAGAAACUGCCACUGUUGGGUAUUCAUUCUAAGAAUGCAUCCAGGAAUGCCUUCCGAAGAUUCCUCAUGGAAUUCCGCAACCUUUCCAAAGAAUUCCCUCCGGAAUUCAUCCAGGAGAUUCCUCUUGAAAGAUGUUCUUCCAGUUUAUUCCAAAAACUCGAGUUUAUUCCAAAAACUCGAUCCGAGGAUUCCCCUAGGAGUUUCCUCCGAAAAGUGUCACAGGAAUUCCUUUUAGGAAUUCCUCCAGGAGUUUCUUAUGGAGAUUUGAUUCCGGGGAUUCAUCCAAGAAUCCUCCAGAAAUUAAUUACAGAGAAUUUUCCAAAAACUCGUUUCGUGUGAUUUCGCGUAAAAUGCUUCCGAACGCUCUUGCACAAGUUACCCGAGCAGGAAAAAAUAGCUGAAGAAUAACUAACUCAGGUAUGGAAAACCGAAUACCUACAACCUGAAUGAGGUAUUAAGUAGCCCUUCAUAAGAGGUAAAAUACCUAAAAUAAUAACUGGUGUGUAUUCUGUGCAUAACGCGUGAAUAAUGACAUCAGGUAUGGCAAUACCUAAAUAAUAAUCGGAGAUUUUUCCAUACAAAUAGCGAUUUUCCCAUAAUUGAAUAAUACCUCAAUCAGUCCUCAACACCAAAUCAAUAACUCGUUGAGGUAUUGUAUCAAUACCUACCAAAUACCAAAAUAAGUUAUUUUCAAUACCUGGACAACCGACCAAUACCUUGUCUUGGUAUGAUACCUGACUUUGGUAUGCUCCAGUUAUGUGGCAGUUAUUCAUUCCUGCUCGGGUACCUCCACAAACCCCGGAGGUUCCUCCAGAAGUUUCUUCCGCAAAUUCAAACAGGUAUCACCUAACGUAAAAUUACACGACUUUUAUAUGUAAAAACGUAAAAAUAUCGUGUUUUUUUGUGAUUUCAAACUAAAAUUGUUGAAUAACUUCGAAUAACCAAUUUAAACACCGUAGUGUCUUCGACAAAGUUGCAGAGUAUUGUUCUAACUAUAUCCUAACGGUAUCUCUGGCAACUGUUCGGAGCAAUUUUAUGAAUUUCUGAGUAAAUUUCUAUGAAAACGGCUAAAAAACACAAAAUUGAUUUGAUACACCUUUAUAACUUUAUCAAUUUGGCUCAAUUUUGGACUUAAGACUUGUUUUUCCAUGUGGAUUGAUAAUUUGAUGUGUCACGGAGAAGCGGAGAAAAAAAGUUUCAAAGUGAACAGGUCUAAUGUAGAUGUACCACUCCAACCUUUGAUCCGCGGUCUACUUUAUGCUAUAAAGGUAUACAACACGAGACUGCAUUUCUCCAGCACUUGCUGUUCACUUGUAACAAUUGGAAAUGCAAGAACGAAAACGAACCUUGCAUGCAGCGUUAGACGGCGGACGUGGAAACGGGUCUUCAGAUGAAAGUCACACAGGGAUAUCAUCAUCAAUUUAACAGUAAUGAGGCUGGAACUUGUGGGAAGGUACCUGCCCACCCAGACUUCAGUUAGUUGAUAGGACGAACGGAACAGAAACAGACCUUCUCCAAACUCCAUGCUCGUUUGGUGUGUGGUCGUCCUCCUGGUCGCGCAAAAGGAGCGCAACAGAGAGUCCACCGUUUAAGCGUACCGUCGCUUAUAAUUAAAUCUAAUACCCCGGGCAUCAAUAAAAAUUAAGAAAAUUAAAUUUUAUAGCGAUAUUGUACAAAUGACCAACGAGGUAGACUCGGUGGAGGGAGGUAACUGGACUAGCGCUGCACCGAUGGUGGGUUGUGUGAACUGAUGGAUACUUUAUAACGAGUCUCCAGUCGACUAUAGAUAAGAACAUGCUGAGGGUACUGGAUUCGAUUUCCGGUACCAUCCAAGAUCUUUUCGUAGUAGACUUUGUAUAACUUUCAUGUGCAAUGCACAUUGUGCAUAACAAUCUCUGUGAGUAUUUUAAAUCUUAAAUGGGUGAACCGGUUGUCGGCUUUGUCCAUUUUUUCCAAUAUUUAUUGAAAUCUACACGACACUUACUCAACACAACUUUUCCAAUAUUUCACUCGUAAACUCUGAACACAUCUGUUCUCGAUCACGUCUAUCUCCAAACUGAGGCCUUCACGAUCGAUCAUGUUUCUCGAUCUUUUCGUACCGCCAACAUCCUGUGCGACGGAAGCUUUUUUCCCGUCUUCGUCCUACCAGAUCAUUUUCGUGCGCUUUUGAGCUUUUUCGAGCAGUGUUUUUCGAUGUUUUCCUUUAUAGGUAACUUUUACCCAACUCCAUCAGGAAAGCUCGUUUUUUCAGAUACACGUCUAUUCAAAGCUGAUCAGUUAUUCAUAUUCUUACGCAAUAAAUUAUUAAAUGUUAUAAUCAACAUAUUUUCUCUACAUCCUUUUCCUCUCCUACUCUUCAUUUCAAUUUGGGUGCAGGACAAGUGCAGGAAGCAAUAUAUUUUUUUUUUUACCUUUUCUUGAUUAUUGCUAUUUUGAGAUAACAUUAAAAAAACGUAUACUGAAUCCGCAAAAUGUUUAAACGUUUGAAUUAUAUAUUAUUUUUACUGUUUUCUCAUAUCAUUGUAUUGUUUCGCUUAUCUUAGAUUCUCAGCAAGCUGCGUUCGAAACGCGCAGCCUCAGAUCGCGCCAGACCGCGCACGUAUGGUUUGUACACGGUGUGCACCUUGGCUAAAACUGUUUUGCAGCCGCCGGGUGGAGCUGUCAGCCGCCGUGUACAAAUCAAACGGGCGCAAUCUUAUAACGGCUGACUCAGAUCAGCAGGAUCUGAGUGAUUAAGCUAGGAUAAACAAUAAACGUCAUCAAAAGACUCGAGAAUUUUUUUUUACACGCCGAACCGCACGCAUGAAUAAAUAAAAAUGAAUCAAUUGUUUUCGACAAAGUUACUCACUAGCCAUCUUUCCGUGUUCGCCAUAAUGAAUAUGAAGUAAAAUCUGAGUUAUUUUUGGUAGCAACAGAACAAAGGCGGAUAUUUUCUCGUCCCGUUCGCCCUUAACUUUUUUAUAUAUAAUCUGUUUCUCCGUGUAUUAUUUGUUCAACCCUGACAUGUUUCGAAUAGGCCUUUUUUUAUGUGUCAUUCAGUUUUCAAACAUCACGAUCACGACGUAUGUCGAUUCUCAUAUCGUUUGACAGUUCCGCGUGGGAUGAAAAAAUGAAAGAAAAGAAAAAAAAACCUAACUGUGCUGGCUUCAGCUUUCUAAAGCUGUAGUACCAGUUAUAGCUCUUGUCUGGAUUACGGCGGACUACGGAAUAACUGAACCCUUAUUUCCACAAGCUGGGCCACUACUUAUGGUCAUUGAACUGCAACAUGCUGUGAACAACUCAGAUCCAACUUUGAUUAGUGGUCGCCUAUCUGGAAACCCCAUUUACGGAUCGAUCCUUAGCCGUUAGUGCAAACUUAAGUCGAUCUGGACCGUUCUGACUGGAUACUCAAAAUAUUCGCAACAAUUACCUCGUUUUAAUCAUGUACACAGUAUCCACCGCAACACCCUCACUUGCGCUACCCAGGAAUCAAAUAAGUCGCUGAACCACUGUGCAACAUGCAUGUACUGGACCGAUGGGACCGAUGUAGAGAAAUGUUUUAUUCGCCGGUUUGUUAUUCGGGAUGGAAAGACUCUGAGCACAGCUAAAAGAUAAUAAUAUGUGGUUCGACGCCAUCUUGAUUUUGCACCAUUUUACGAAUAACACAUUUUUGGUCUGCACUAUUUUAUUUGAAUGCCUUAUUAGAUAAAUGUUUUAUUCGCGGGUU
This is a long non-coding RNA of Aedes albopictus (Asian tiger mosquito), 14834 nucleotides long. RefSeq lists it as uncharacterized. Lineage: Eukaryota; Metazoa; Arthropoda; Insecta; Diptera; Culicidae. The record is from RefSeq and is a predicted model, not a curated record. The transcript has 2 exons.